Molecule: transfer RNA, 74 nt
Filed under: bacterium
Lineage: Bacteria
Description: tRNA-Met
Rfam family: tRNA
About the family: Transfer RNA (tRNA) molecules are approximately 80 nucleotides in length. Their secondary structure includes four short double-helical elements and three loops (D, anti-codon, and T loops).
Source: RNAcentral
CGCAGGGUAGGGUAACAGGUAACCCGACCAGGUUCAUUACCUGGGGGAUGGCGGUUCGAGUCCGUCCCCUGCUA